CUGAGGGUCACAGAGCCUCCUGGCUGGACGGUCUCAGAUGCCAACUGAUGGACCCGAGCCUGGAUGUUCAACCCUGAACCCUUUACACUGACAGUGACGCCCUCCAUGAAUUCUAAUAUAAAUGAAUUACCUCUUGCACAGUAACCGUCCAAACAGAAUCCCACCAUGAGACGUCCCCACUUUGUGCUCCAUUCAACACCACCACCACCUUGGCUCUAUAGGACAGCUUCCAUGGUGUUCUACUUCCUGUUAGGGUCUAAACAGUAAAGUAUUUUGCUACAUUUCACAAUAAAUACAAUUUUAUUAUAA
This is a long non-coding RNA of Scophthalmus maximus (turbot), 309 nucleotides long. RefSeq lists it as uncharacterized. The transcript has 2 exons. NCBI's taxonomy places the organism in Eukaryota, Metazoa, Chordata, Actinopteri, Pleuronectiformes, Scophthalmidae. The record is from RefSeq and is a predicted model, not a curated record.